GAACGGCGACGCCGACACCGGACGCUCGCAGUUCCUGCUGGCCAGCGUGCUGGACGAGGACGAGAUGACGCAAGGCGAGCGACAGCUGGGCAGAGCUGACCGGAGCGCGUUCGUGCAGGAGAUCGUGUUGUCGACACUGUCCGAGUCGGUGGAGGCCGUGUCGAUAGCUGAUCCGCCGCCGCGCGCUGCCGCCCCAGACCAGAAGACGAGCGGUCCAGCGGCGCGGUCGGCCGCUGCCAGCG
Molecule: long non-coding RNA, 242 nt
Filed under: Pollicipes pollicipes
Lineage: Eukaryota; Metazoa; Arthropoda; Thecostraca; Pollicipedomorpha; Pollicipedidae
Description: uncharacterized LOC119111796
Source: RNAcentral